CACGUAGGAGGCGAGCGUUAUCCGGAUUUACUGGGCGUAAAGCGCGUGUAGGCGGUUCGGUAAGUUGGAUGUGAAAUCUCCUGGCUCAACUAGGAGAGGUCGUUCAAUACUGCCAGACUAGAGGACGGUAGAGGAAGGUAGAAUUCCCGGUGUAGUGGUGAAAUGCGUAGAUAUCGGGAGGAAUACCAGUGGCGAAGGCGGCCUUCUGGGCCGUUCCUGACGCUCAGACGCGAAAGCGUGGGUAGCGAAC
RNAcentral lists this ribosomal RNA (250 nucleotides) under uncultured bacterium. Its description in RNAcentral is "partial 16S ribosomal RNA". It matches the Rfam family "Bacterial small subunit ribosomal RNA", at positions 524 to 773 of the family's 1533-position model. The record is from RNAcentral.